UAAGCCUGACAGGCUCUGGGGCAGGGCUCUUCAGUUGGUGGGUUGUGAUGAUAACACCAGCUCUGAGUACAGGAGAUUUUCAUUUGAUGAGUGGUCUGAACAUCUACUUAGUGGUUAUAAAAUAUUUGCUGCUGAAAGCCACAGAGCAUUGAUAAACAGAUCCUGGACAGCUGAGUUAUUGCAAUCUACUUAACAUGAGGAGAACAAAUUGUGAGUCAAAUGUUCCUGUUUAAUAACCUUACUCAGGGCAGAGAGAGCUGCUCAAGGUUGGCGUUAACUCUGCAUGCGCUGCGCCAGCCAGGGUCCCAGAAAGGGCUGUGCAGACGUUGAAGCAAUUCAGAUUAUGCUUUACUUUAACACAUGCAGAAAAGGAUGGAUUCAUCUCAUUCAUGGGAAACAGAUGAGGAAUACAUUUUCUGUGAAUGCUAUUUCAAAAAAUAUGGGGUCUCACUAUGUUGUCCAUGCUGAUCUCAAACUCCUGGGCUCAAGCAAUCUUCCCACCUCAGCCUCCCAAAGUGCUGGGAUUACAGGAGCACAAAGGAAAGGCCAUGCGAGGACACAGGGAGAAGACAGGCCCCUACCAGUCAGGAAGGGAGCCCUCACCAGAAACUGAGCUGGCCAGCACAAUGGUCUUGGACUUGUAGCUCCAGAACUGUGAGGAAAUAAAUUUCUGUUGUUGAAGCC
RNAcentral lists this long non-coding RNA (684 nucleotides) under Homo sapiens (human). Its description in RNAcentral is "HSALNT0329208". The record is from RNAcentral. Lineage: Eukaryota; Metazoa; Chordata; Mammalia; Primates; Hominidae.